CUCCGAGGCGACUUCGCCUGGGGCGCAGGUUCCUCGAGGGCAGGACGGCGCCGGCGGAAGGGCCGGAGAAUUCCGUUCCAGCCCCAGAUUGUUGAAUCGAGCGUCGGUAGGGUCCAGAGAGAGAAGGCACGCGCUCUGGCUCAGCUGGCUUCACCACCCGCUCUGUGACCUCGGCUGCUUAGUUUACGUUUCUGAGCCACGGAUAAUAAUGAGAGAAUAUUUGUGUCGGGGUCUUGCGAAGCCCUCGGUAUUACCUCCUGCUGUUGCCUACCGUACGUCUCAGCUUACAGACCACCCACUGGUUGGCUACGACGGCCUACAAGACAACAACAUCCUCAUCAGGAUUUGUUCAUCUACUGGGGACCCUUAGACAGACCUCUGGACAAGCCUCAGUUGCCGGUCUCGCUCUACUACGCCCCUCCUCAGCCUGAAGUAGCCAGAGCGGUCGUCGCCCCUAUUCCCUGACGACAGUUAGGGUUACCUCUUCAGAGGGGGGAUGAGACAGGUUAGCUGGCAUGUUGCUAGAUACACAGGGAGGUCCCUGGUGGAAUGAACAGAAGGCAGCCAUAUCCUGAAACUCCAGUUCUGGAAUGUCUCCUUCACUCCAGGACAAAGAUAUGAGAAUACGCCUUGAGGUUAAUAAAUUAUCUCAUAAAUCCCUUUUGGCCGGACAAAGGAGCAGAUCUGAUACAUAGGAACAGGUUCACUAAUCCAUUUAGGGUGGGCAAACCAGACAAACCUGAUAGAUGAAUCCCAUUAGAAGGUGCCAGCCCCCUUCCCCAAACAGGCAAAGGAAGGUAUAAAAGUAAGAACUUUUGCCUCAGUCACUGGGCAACCCUGUCGGGACCCCCUCUUGUUCCGAAAGCAGCCACUCUUUACUCUUUAGUUUUGACUAUCUUCUUUUUUUUUUUUUUUUAAAGAUUUUAUUGGAGAAGGGGAACAGGACUUUAUUGGGGAACAGGACUUUAUUGGGGAACAGUGUGUACUUCCAGGCGUUUUUUUCCAAGUCAAGUUGUUGUCCUUUCAAUCUUAGUUGUGGAGGGUGCUGUUCAGC
Molecule: long non-coding RNA, 1054 nt
Filed under: Rhinolophus ferrumequinum (greater horseshoe bat)
Lineage: Eukaryota; Metazoa; Chordata; Mammalia; Chiroptera; Rhinolophidae
Description: lncRNA (ENSRFEG00010006886.1)
Source: RNAcentral